RNAcentral lists this ribosomal RNA (1106 nucleotides) under uncultured fungus. RNAcentral describes it as "eukaryotic LSU rRNA". The stretch from base 540 to 1106 matches the Rfam family "Eukaryotic large subunit ribosomal RNA", at positions 1 to 667 of the family's 3401-position model. Lineage: Eukaryota; Fungi. The record is from RNAcentral.
CUUGGUCAUUUAGAGGAAGUAAAAGUCGUAACAAGGUUUCCGUAGGUGAACCUGCGGAAGGAUCAUUAGUAGGGAUGAAGAGGUAGAAGAUGAUAUACUGGUAGCAGAUGCAAUUAUGAUGAUGAUUGCAUUGUGCAACCAGCACGAUUUAUUGAACAGUGACAAAUCAAAAAAUGACAUGAGCACCUUGCUGCAAUGGAUCUCUCGGCUCUUGCAUCGAAGAAGAACGCAGUCCAUUGCGAAAAGUCAUGCGACCUGCACACUUUGAGAAGCAUUACUCUUUGAACGCACCUUGCGCGAAUAAAUGAUUAUUCGAGGUCCUGUUUGAGCAAGCUACGAGAUGGUAGUACGUGAUUAUUUCAUUUCAAUGAUGAGAUGAUUGAAAAAGAUGCGUAGUCUGUAAGACACACCAGUGAGGAGGAAAUGAAGCGAUAUUGUGUUCAAGCAUCACGAUGGAUUCUUCAACAAACCCCCACUGUACGCAUGAACGCAUGAUGAGCAUGAACAUACCAUGACACAUUAUGAAAGCACUAACACACGCAUCUCAAAUCAGGAUAGAGGACCCGCUGAACUUAAGCAUAUCAGUAAGCGGAGGAAAAGAAACUAACGAGGAUUCCCCCAGUAACGGCGAGUGAAGCGGGAACAGCCCAUGGAGAAAUCGAGUGGAAGACACUUGAACUGUUCCGUGGAGAGCAGGAGGAGCGUGAGCUGACGGUUGCAAGUUCUUUGGAAAGAGACGGCAAAGAGGGUGAGACCCCCGUAGCAACAGGCAGCAAAGGCACGUCGAGCUCGUCGAGUCGGAUUGUUUGGGAAUGCAAUCCCAAAUGGGUGGUACGCGCCAUCUAAGGCUAAACAAGGGCAAGAGACCGAUAGCAAACAAGUACCGUGAGGGAAAGAUGAAAAGGACUCUGAAGAGAGAGUGAAAAGUGCGUGAAAUUGCAGCAAGGGAAACGCACAAGGGGGAGUAAGGCGGGAGUGGAUGGGCGGUUGGGAUAGCCGUGGAAGUAUGGAUGUGUGCGAGCAUGUCCAACAUACAGCAUGGCGAAAUCAACAGCGCAUCGAGGCCCACCGGACCAAGUUGUGCGACCCGUCUUGAAACACGGACC